AACCGCUGUGACACACAUAUUAAAAACCUUUACAUCUCAGGUCAGGAAGUGUUCAGCUGUGGUAUUGCGGGGGCCCUGCACGGCGGGCUGAUCUGUGCCUCCAUAGUACUUGGUCACAUCCUCUACGUCGACCUCUUGUUUAUAAAGAAGAAACUUUAAAGAAACAGCGUUGUUCAGGAA
Long non-coding RNA from Alosa sapidissima (American shad), 180 nucleotides. RefSeq lists it as uncharacterized. The record is from RefSeq and is a predicted model, not a curated record. NCBI's taxonomy places the organism in Eukaryota, Metazoa, Chordata, Actinopteri, Clupeiformes, Clupeidae. The transcript is spliced from 5 exons.